This 505-nucleotide ribosomal RNA is filed under the name uncultured bacterium. RNAcentral's name for it is "partial 16S ribosomal RNA". It matches the Rfam family "Bacterial small subunit ribosomal RNA", at positions 28 to 507 of the family's 1533-position model. The record is from RNAcentral.
GACGAACGCUGGCGGCGUGCCUAAUACAUGCAAGUAGAACGCACAGUUUAUACCGUAGCUUGCUACACCAUAGACUGUGAGUUGCGAACGGGUGAGUAACGCGUAGGUAACCUGCCUGGUAGCGGGGGAUAACUAUUGGAAACGAUAGCUAAUACCGCAUAUUAUUAAUUAUUGCAUGAUAAUUAAUUGAAAGGUGCAAUUGCACCACUACCAGAUGGACCUGCGUUGUAUUAGCUAGUAGGUGAGGUAACGGCUCACCUAGGCGACGAUACAUAGCCGACCUGAGAGGGUGAUCGGCCACACUGGGACUGAGACACGGCCCAGACUCCUACGGGAGGCAGCAGUAGGGAAUCUUCGGCAAUGGACGAAAGUCUGACCGAGCAACGCCGCGUGAGUGAAGAAGGUUUUCGGAUCGUAAAGCUCUAUUGUAAGAGAAGAACGGGUGUGAGAGUGGAAAGUUCACACUGUGACGGUAUCUUACCAGAAAGGGACGGCUAACUACGUG